GGCCCUGUAGCUCAGGGGUUGGAGCGCUGGUUUCAUAAAACAAGGGUCAUGAGUUCAAUUCUCACCAUGGUCC
This 73-nucleotide transfer RNA is filed under the name Chlorocebus sabaeus (green monkey). It matches the Rfam family "tRNA". Rfam says of the family: Transfer RNA (tRNA) molecules are approximately 80 nucleotides in length. Lineage: Eukaryota; Metazoa; Chordata; Mammalia; Primates; Cercopithecidae. The record is from Rfam by way of RNAcentral.